UGUGCAUUCUUGCUCACGUGACUGC
RNAcentral lists this non-coding RNA (25 nucleotides) under Mus musculus (house mouse). The record is from RNAcentral. Lineage: Eukaryota; Metazoa; Chordata; Mammalia; Rodentia; Muridae.